AGCAGCCGCGGUAAUACGGAGGGUCCGAGCGUUAUCCGGAAUCAUUGGGUUUAAAGGGUCCGUAGGCGGGCGUCUAAGUCAGUGGUGAAAUCCCGCAGCUCAACUGUGGAAUUGCCAUUGAUACUGGUCGCCUUGAAUUAGUGUGAAGUGGCUAGAAUAUGUAGUGUAGCGGUGAAAUGCUUAGAUAUUACAUAGAAUACCGAUUGCGAAGGCAGGUCACUAACACUAUAUUGACGCUGAUGGACGAAAGCGUGGGGAGCGAACAGGAUUAGAUACCCUGG
RNAcentral lists this ribosomal RNA (281 nucleotides) under Percolomonas cosmopolitus. RNAcentral's name for it is "partial Bacterial small subunit ribosomal RNA". It matches the Rfam family "Bacterial small subunit ribosomal RNA", at positions 510 to 790 of the family's 1533-position model. Lineage: Eukaryota; Heterolobosea; Eutetramitea; Percolomonadida; Percolomonadidae. The record is from RNAcentral.